RNAcentral lists this transfer RNA (76 nucleotides) under Desulfovibrio sp. RNAcentral describes it as "tRNA-His". It matches the Rfam family "tRNA". Rfam says of the family: Transfer RNA (tRNA) molecules are approximately 80 nucleotides in length. Their secondary structure includes four short double-helical elements and three loops (D, anti-codon, and T loops). RNAcentral also lists the same sequence under 2 other names. The record is from RNAcentral. Lineage: Bacteria; Pseudomonadati; Thermodesulfobacteriota; Desulfovibrionia; Desulfovibrionales; Desulfovibrionaceae.
GUGGGUGUAGCUCAGUUGGUAGAGCACCAGGUUGUGGCCCUGGGGGCCGAGGGUUCAAGCCCCUUCAUUCACCCCA